This is a long non-coding RNA of Megalobrama amblycephala (Wuchang bream), 329 nucleotides long. RefSeq lists it as uncharacterized. The transcript has 4 exons. Lineage: Eukaryota; Metazoa; Chordata; Actinopteri; Cypriniformes; Xenocyprididae. The record is from RefSeq and is a predicted model, not a curated record.
CACUGUCAUUCCGGAAUGGACUGGUACCGCAAACAGCUCAUUGGUUCUGCUCUUAUUUAUUGCCAUCUAGUCCUGUUUGCAGAAUUAACUGUGGCUCCAGCCAUUAAGCAGACCUGAACCAGUUGAUGAAGGUCUUCAGGAUCACCAGAAACUACAGGCAGGUGUGUGAGAAAGUUGGAGCUACAUACUGCAGGACGUUGGUCCUCCAUGACCAGGACUGGACACCACUGUUGUCUAAGCCAGCCACAGUGGAUACAGUGAAGCCACAAACACAGUUCAUAGUUCUUGUAUUUCUAUUACACAUUAAAUAAUAAAAAAUAUCAUGUUAA